UAAGGGGUCCCUUAGUUUGAUUCAUAUUCUGAGAAAAAACUUUAUUUCUUAAAAGGAUUUAAUCCUUUACCUCUCAACGAAAGAUUUGAGGAAUAAUAUACAUUCUCGUGAUUUGGAUCCAAGGGCCAAUUAAAUUAUAUUUAUAUAUAAAUAUAAUUUUUAAGAACACCAACGAUGAAAGCACUCUGCUGGGCCGACACUGACACUAAGAGACGAAAGCUAGGGGAGCGAAUGGGAUUAGAUACUCCAGUAGUCCUAGUCGUAAACGAUGGAUACUAGACGCUGGCGUAUCGACUGGUGUAGUGCUGUAGCUAACGCGUUAAGUAUCCC
Molecule: non-coding RNA, 330 nt
Filed under: Gossypium arboreum
Lineage: Eukaryota; Viridiplantae; Streptophyta; Magnoliopsida; Malvales; Malvaceae
Description: Bacterial small subunit ribosomal RNA
Rfam family: Bacterial small subunit ribosomal RNA
Source: Rfam by way of RNAcentral